Molecule: ribosomal RNA, 253 nt
Filed under: uncultured bacterium
Lineage: Bacteria
Description: partial 16S ribosomal RNA
Rfam family: Bacterial small subunit ribosomal RNA
Source: RNAcentral
UACGGGGGGGGCAAGCGUUGUUCGGAAUUACUGGGCGUAAAGGGCUUGUAGGUGGCCAACUAAGUCAGACGUGAAAUCCCUCGGCUUAACCGGGGAACUGCGUCUGAUACUGGAUGGCUUGAGUGUGGGAGAGGGAUGCGGAAUUCCAGGUGUAGCGGUGAAAUGCGUAGAUAUCUGGAGGAACACCGGUGGCGAAGGCGGCAUCCUGGACCAACACUGACGCUCAUGCACGAAAGCGUGGGGAGCAAACAGG